This 342-nucleotide ribosomal RNA is filed under the name uncultured Pseudomonadota bacterium. RNAcentral's name for it is "bacterial SSU rRNA". It matches the Rfam family "Bacterial small subunit ribosomal RNA", at positions 29 to 351 of the family's 1533-position model. The record is from RNAcentral. Lineage: Bacteria; Pseudomonadati; Pseudomonadota.
AAUGAACGCUGGCGGCGUGCUUAACACAUGCAAGUCGUACGAGAAAUCUUUGGGCUUGCUCGAAGAGAGUAAAGUGGCGCACGGGUGAGUAACGCGUAGAUAACCUGUCUUCGUGUCUGGAAUAAUACACCGAAAGGGGUACUAAUACCGGAUAAUCUUGCUUUUCAUAAGUUUUGCAAGCAAAGGUGGCCUCUGACUUAAGCUACUGCAUGAAGAGGGGUCUGCGUACCAUUAGCUAGUAGGUGGGGUAAAGGCCUACCUAGGCAACGAUGGUUAGCGGGUCUGAGAGGAUGAUCCGCCACACUGGCACUGGAACACGGGCCAGACUCCUACGGGUGGCUG